GAUUUACUUCGGUAAUGACGUUGGGAAAGCGAGCGGCGGAUGGGUGAGUAACACGUGGGGAACCUGCCCCUAAGUCUGGGAUACCAUUUGGAAACAGGUGCUAAUACCGGAUAAUAAAGCAGAUCGCAUGAUCAGCUUUUGAAAGGCGGCGUAAGCUGUCGCUAAGGGAUGGCCCCGCGGUGCAUUAGCUAGUUGGUAAGGUAACGGCUUACCAAGGCGACGAUGCAUAGCCGAGUUGAGAGACUGAUCGGCCACGUUGGGACUGAGACACGGCCCAAACUCCUACGGGAGGCAGCAGUAGGGAAUCUUCCACAAUGGACGCAAGUCUGAUGGAGCAACGCCGCGUGAGUGAAGAAGGUUUUCGGAUCGUAAAGCUCUGUUGUUGGUGAAGAAGGAUAGAGGUAGUAACUGGCCUUUAUUUGACGGUAAUCAACCACAAAGUCACGGCUAACUACGUGCCAGCAGCCGCGGUAAUACGUAAGUGGCAAGCGUUGUCCGGAUUUAUUGGGCGUAAAGCGAGCGCAGGCGGAAAAAUAAGUCUAAUGUGAAAGCCCUCGGCUUAACCGAGGAACUGCAUCGGAAACUGUUUUUCUUGAGUGCAGAAGAGGAGAGUGGAACUCCAUGUGUAGCGGUGGAAUGCGUAGAUAUAUGGAAGAACACCAGUGGCGAAGGCGGCUCUCUGGUCUGCAA
RNAcentral lists this ribosomal RNA (690 nucleotides) under uncultured bacterium. RNAcentral describes it as "bacterial SSU rRNA". It matches the Rfam family "Bacterial small subunit ribosomal RNA", at positions 68 to 739 of the family's 1533-position model. The record is from RNAcentral.